GUGGAACAGUUUUCGAUCUUUUGAGAGCCUUCCCAUACUGGAAUUUCACGUAACAGCCAGAACCAAGCUUUCCAUAUUUAUCUUUUGAUGGAAGAUCUUUUCCUUCAACUAUUGUCACAUAGAUUUUUCUUCCUGUUCUAGAUAGGAAACUUGAUGUGCCGUUGAGUGAAGGUUGAGAGCUCAUUGGCAAACCAUUUGAGCUAUGUGAACCAUCAGCAAAUUGCCAUUCCUU
Molecule: unclassified non-coding RNA, 232 nt
Filed under: Hevea brasiliensis (rubber tree)
Lineage: Eukaryota; Viridiplantae; Streptophyta; Magnoliopsida; Malpighiales; Euphorbiaceae
Source: RNAcentral